UGCCUUGGCAUCUUGGCAUUUAUGACCUU
RNAcentral lists this non-coding RNA (29 nucleotides) under Rattus norvegicus (Norway rat). Lineage: Eukaryota; Metazoa; Chordata; Mammalia; Rodentia; Muridae. The record is from RNAcentral.